This 474-nucleotide unclassified non-coding RNA is filed under the name Hevea brasiliensis (rubber tree). The record is from RNAcentral. Lineage: Eukaryota; Viridiplantae; Streptophyta; Magnoliopsida; Malpighiales; Euphorbiaceae.
UCUCCAGAAUCUAGAUUUGUCUUUAAACAACUUCAGCACAAGUUUGCCAGCUAGAUUUGCCAACCUCACUGGUUUAAUUUCUCUGAAUUUGUCCAACGCUGGAUUUAUGGGUCAAAUUCCAACUGAAAUUUCAAACUUGGCGUCAUUGGUGACCCUUGAUCUGUCUAAGCUCUACGUCCUUGGAGUCCCAUCACUAAAACUUGAGAAACCAAAUUUGGCAACACUGGUUCAAAAUCUUACACAGCUGAGAGAACUUCGUCUUGACGGUGUAAAUAUAUCUGCAAAUGGGAAUGAGUGGUGUCAGGCCUUAUCGUCUUCUCUGCCUAAUCUGCAAGUGUUGAGCUUGUCCAACUGUUCUCUUUCGGGCCCUAUUGAUCCUUCCCUUGCAAAGCUUCAGUCUCUCUCAGUAAUUAGUAUGGGCCGUAACAAUUUAUCUGCCCCAGUUCCAGAGUUCUUCGCAAAUUUCUCCAAUUU